AGUGAACGCUGGCGGUAGGCCUAACACAUGCAAGUCGAACGGCAGCACAGGAGAGCUUGCUCUCUGGGUGGCGAGCGGCGGACGGGUGAGGAAUACAUCGGAAUCUACUCUGUCGUGGGGGAUAACGUAGGGAAACUUACGCUAAUACCGCAUACGACCUACGGGUGAAAGCAGGGGAUCUUCGGACCUUGCGCGAUUGAAUGAGCCGAUGUCGGAUUAGCUAGUUGUCGGGGUAAAGGCCCACCAAGGCGACGAUCCGUAGCUGGUCUGAGAGGCUGAUCAGCCACACUGGAACUGGGACACGGUCCAGACUCCUACGGGAGGCAGCAGUGGGGAAUAUUGGACAAUGGGCGCAAGCCUGAUCCAGCCAUACCGCGUGGGUGAAGAAGGCCUUCGGGUUGUAAAGCCCUUUUGUUGGGAAAGAAAUCCAGCUGGCUAAUACCCGGUUGGGAUGACGGUACCCAAAGAAUAAGCACCGGCUAACUUCGUGCCAGCCGCCGCUGUAA
This 506-nucleotide ribosomal RNA is filed under the name uncultured bacterium. RNAcentral describes it as "partial 16S ribosomal RNA". It matches the Rfam family "Bacterial small subunit ribosomal RNA", at positions 29 to 523 of the family's 1533-position model. The record is from RNAcentral.